UACGUAGGGGGCAAGCGUUGUCCGGAUUUAUUGGGCGUAAAGAGCGUGUAGGCGGCCAGGUAGGUCAGCUGUGAAAACUCGAGGCUCAACCUCGAGACGUCGGUUGAAACCACCUGGCUAGAGUCCGGAAGAGGAGAGUGGAAUUCCUGGUGUAGCGGUGAAAUGCGCAGAUAUCAGGAAGAACACCGGUGGCGAAGGCGGGUCUCUGGGCCGUAACUGACGCUGAGGAGCGAAAGCGUGGGGAGCGAACAGG
RNAcentral lists this ribosomal RNA (253 nucleotides) under uncultured bacterium. RNAcentral describes it as "partial 16S ribosomal RNA". It matches the Rfam family "Bacterial small subunit ribosomal RNA", at positions 524 to 776 of the family's 1533-position model. The record is from RNAcentral.